Molecule: ribosomal RNA, 253 nt
Filed under: uncultured bacterium
Lineage: Bacteria
Description: partial 16S ribosomal RNA
Rfam family: Bacterial small subunit ribosomal RNA
Source: RNAcentral
UACGUAGGGGGCCAGCGUUGUCCGGACUUACUGGGCGUAAAGCGCGCGCAGGCGGACUCGUAUGUGCCGUGUGAAAGCGCCGGACUUCCUCCGGUGAGGUCAUGGUAGACAGCGGGUCUUGAGGCUCAGAGAGGUCGGUGGAAUUCCGGGUGGAGCGGUGAAAUGCGUAGAGAUCCGGAGGAACACCAGGGGCGAAAGCGGCGGACUGGCUGAGUACUGACGCUGAGACGCGAAGGCGUGGGGAGCAAACAGG